UACGUAGGGUGCAAGCGUUAAUCGGAAUUACUGGGCGUAAAGCGUGCGCAGGCGGUUAUGUAAGACAGGUGUGAAAUCCCCGGGCUUAACCUGGGAACUGCAUUUGUGACUGCAUAGCUAGAGUACGGCAGAGGGGGAUGGAAUUCCGCGUGUAGCAGUGAAAUGCGUAGAUAUGCGGAGGAACACCGAUGGCGAAGGCAAUCCCCUGGGCCUGUACUGACGCUCAUGCACGAAAGCGUGGGUAGCAAACAGG
This 253-nucleotide ribosomal RNA is filed under the name uncultured bacterium. RNAcentral's name for it is "partial 16S ribosomal RNA". It matches the Rfam family "Bacterial small subunit ribosomal RNA", at positions 524 to 776 of the family's 1533-position model. The record is from RNAcentral.